AUUGAACGCUGGCGGCAUGCCUUACACAUGCAAGUCGAACGGCAGCACGGGAGCAAUCCUGGUGGCGAGUGGCGAACGGGUGAGUAAUAGUAUCGGAACGUGCCCAGUCGUGGGGAUAACGUAGCGAAAGCUACGCUAAUACCGCAUACGAUCUAUGGAUGAAAGCGGGGGAUCGCAAGACCUCGCGCGAUUGGAGCGGCCGAUAUCAGAUUAGGUAGUUGGUGAGGUAAAGGCUCACCAAGCCGACGAUCUGUAGCUGGUCUGAGAGGACGACCAGCCACACUGGGACUGAGACACGGCCCAGACUCCUACGGAAGGCAGCAGUGGGGAAUUUUGGACAAUGGGCGCAAGCCUGAUCCAGCAAUGCCGCGUGCAGGAUGAAGGCC
This 386-nucleotide ribosomal RNA is filed under the name uncultured bacterium. RNAcentral describes it as "bacterial SSU rRNA". It matches the Rfam family "Bacterial small subunit ribosomal RNA", at positions 30 to 416 of the family's 1533-position model. The record is from RNAcentral.